CUACGGGAGGCAGCAGUGGGGAAUCUUGCACAAUGGGGGAAACCCUGAUGCAGCGACGCCGCGUGAGCGAUGAAGCCCUUCGGGGUGUAAAGCUCUUUCGACGGGAACGAUAAUGACGGUACCCGGAGAAGAAGCUGCGGCUAACUACGUGCCAGCAGCCGCGGUAAUACGUAGGCAGCGAGCGUUGUUCGGAGUUACUGGGCGUAAAGAGUAUGUAGGCGGUUGCGCAAGUUUGGUGUGAAAUCUCCCGGCUCAACUGGGAGGGUGCGCCGAAAACUGCGCGGCUAGAGUGCGGGAGGGGAGAGCGGAAUUCCUGGUGUAGCGGUGAAAUGCGUAGAUAUCAGGAGGAACACCGGCGGUGUAGACGGCUCUCUGGACCGCGACUGACGCUGAGAUACGAAAGCGUGGGGAGCAAACAGGAUUAGAUACCCUGGUAGA
Molecule: ribosomal RNA, 438 nt
Filed under: uncultured bacterium
Lineage: Bacteria
Description: bacterial SSU rRNA
Rfam family: Bacterial small subunit ribosomal RNA
Source: RNAcentral